AAAGACUUAGUCCUAACCUUACGGUUGGUUUUUGCUAAAUAUAUACAUGCAAGUAUCCGCGCCCCAGUGUAAACGCCCUCGACCACCUAUCCCUAUACAGGCCUUGAGGAGCGGGUAUCAGGCACACCCAAGUAGUAGCCCAAGACGCCUCGCUAAGCCACGCCCCCACGGGUAUUCAGCAGUAAUUAACAUUAAGCAAUGAGUGCAAACUUGACUUAGUUAUAGCAACAGCCUAACUUCAAGGGUUGGUAAAUCUUGUGCCAGCCACCGCGGUCAUACAAGAAACCCAAAUCAACCGUCCUAUUAACACGGCGUAAAGAGUGGUAAAAUGCCUAUCCUAGCUAACUAAGAUCAAAAUGCAACUAAGCUGUCAUAAGCCCAAGAUGCACCUAAACACACCAUUAAGAUGAUCUUAGGAACUAACGACUGAUUUAAACCCACGAAAGCCAGGGCCCAAACUGGGAUUAGAUACCCCACUAUGCCUGGCCCUAAAUCUUGAUACUUACUU
Molecule: ribosomal RNA, 508 nt
Filed under: Anser caerulescens (Snow goose)
Lineage: Eukaryota; Metazoa; Chordata; Aves; Anseriformes; Anatidae
Description: partial small-subunit ribosomal subunit
Rfam family: Bacterial small subunit ribosomal RNA
Source: RNAcentral